RNAcentral lists this ribosomal RNA (2073 nucleotides) under Stenomitos sp. BACA0708. RNAcentral's name for it is "bacterial SSU rRNA". The stretch from base 1 to 1469 matches the Rfam family "Bacterial small subunit ribosomal RNA". Lineage: Bacteria; Bacillati; Cyanobacteriota; Cyanophyceae; Leptolyngbyales; Leptolyngbyaceae. The record is from RNAcentral.
UGGCUCAGGAUGAACGCUGGCGGUCUGCUUAACACAUGCAAGUCGAACGGUGUCUUCGGACAUAGUGGCGGACGGGUGAGUAACGCGUGAGAAUCUGCCUUCAGGUUGGGGACAACAGUUGGAAACGACUGCUAAUACCCAAUGUGCCGAGAGGUGAAAGCUUUAGUGCCUGAAGAUGAGCUCGCGUCUGAUUAGCUAGUUGGUGGGGUAAUGGCCUACCAAGGCGACGAUCAGUAGCUGGUCUGAGAGGAUGAUCAGCCACACUGGGACUGAGACACGGCCCAGACUCCUACGGGAGGCAGCAGUGGGGAAUUUUCCGCAAUGGGCGCAAGCCUGACGGAGCAAGACCGCGUGAGGGAGGAAGGCUCUUGGGUUGUAAACCUCUUUUAUCAGGGAAGAAGAUCUGACGGUACCUGAUGAAUCAGCAUCGGCUAACUCCGUGCCAGCAGCCGCGGUAAUACGGAGGAUGCAAGCGUUAUCCGGAUUUAUUGGGCGUAAAGCGUCCGCAGGUGGUUUUUCAAGUCUGCUGUUAAAGCGCGAGGCUUAACUUCGUACAGGCAGUGGAAACUGAAUGACUAGAGUAUGGUAGGGGUAGCGGGAAUUCCCAGUGUAGCGGUGAAAUGCGUAGAUAUUGGGAAGAACACCAGCGGCGAAAGCGCGCUACUGGGCCAUUACUGACACUCAUGGACGAAAGCUAGGGGAGCGAAAGGGAUUAGAUACCCCUGUAGUCCUAGCUGUAAACGAUGGGUACUAGGUGUUGACCGUAUCGACCCGGUCAGUGCCGUAGCUAACGCGUUAAGUACCCCGCCUGGGGAGUAUGCACGCAAGUGUGAAACUCAAAGGAAUUGACGGGGGCCCGCACAAGCGGUGGAGUAUGUGGUUUAAUUCGAUGCAACGCGAAGAACCUUACCAGGGCUUGACAUGUCGCGAAUCUCGGUGAAAGUCGAGAGUGCCUUCGGGAGCGCGAACACAGGUGGUGCAUGGCUGUCGUCAGCUCGUGUCGUGAGAUGUUGGGUUAAGUCCCGCAACGAGCGCAACCCUCGUUUUUAGUUGCCAGCAUUGAGUUGGGCACUCUAGAGAGACUGCCGGUGACAAACCGGAGGAAGGUGGGGAUGACGUCAAGUCAGCAUGCCCCUUACGUCCUGGGCUACACACGUACUACAAUGCUUCGGACAAAGGGUUGCGAGCUAGCGAUAGCAAGCUAAUCCCGUAAACCGAGGCUCAGUUCAGAUUGCAGGCUGCAACUCGCCUGCAUGAAGGAGGAAUCGCUAGUAAUCGCAGGUCAGCAUACUGCGGUGAAUACGUUCCCGGGCCUUGUACACACCGCCCGUCACACCAUGGGAGUUGGCCACGCCCGAAGUCGUUACUCCAACCGCUUGCGGAGGAGGAUGCCGAAGGCAGGGCUGAUGACUGGGGUGAAGUCGUAACAAGGUAGCCGUACCGGAAGGUGUGGCUGGAUCACCUCCUUUUAGGGAGACCUACCCGCAUUGACGCUUGAACGCAAUUUGCCAUUAAAGCCAAUGUUGGUCAUCCCAAGGUCGUUCAAGAAUAAGUGUUGGCUUUCAAACUAGCUAGGUUUGGUUUAUGGGCUAUUAGCUCAGGUGGUUAGAGCGCACCCCUGAUAAGGGUGAGGUCCCUGGUUCGAGUCCAGGAUGGCCCACCUUUGAGAGCGGUCAACCAUCAGGCAUCAGAGUUUUGUUCAAGGCUUUUGAUGACUGAGCGUUGGUAGCUUUUCUGGGGGUUUAGCUCAGUUGGUAGAGCGCCUGCUUUGCAAGCAGGAUGUCAGCGGUUCGAGUCCGCUAACCUCCACUGAGUGAAUGGUUUUUGAAGCUCAUUCUUGGAAGCGUUCAGCAACUCGUCUAGUGAUGCUAGAGAGCCUGCUGGAUUUGUUUCCAGCCAGAACCUUGAAAACUGCAUAGUACUUGUCAGGUAGAAAGAGCAACGUGUGCUUUGUUUUUGGUUUCAGUCUUAACCGACUGCGUUCAAGAGCAGGAGCAUGUGUUGUGAAAUCAUAGACACCAAUGAAUUUGUAAGUGGUCAAGCUACAAAGGGCUGAUGGUGGAUACCUAGGCA